GUGGAUUAGAUACCCUGGUAGUCCACGCCGUAAACGAUGGAUACUAGCUGUUGGAAGCAAUUUCAGUGGCUAAGCGAAAGUGAUAAGUAUCCCACCUGGGGAGUACGUUCGCAAGAAUGAAACUCAAAGGAAUUGACGGGGGCCCGCACAAGCGGUGGAGCAUGUGGUUUAAUUCGAUGAUACGCGAGGAACCUUACCAAGGCUUAAAUGCAGACUGACCGAUUUGGAAACAGAUCUUUCGCAAGACAGUUUACAAGGUGCUGCACGGUCGUCGACAACU
This 280-nucleotide ribosomal RNA is filed under the name uncultured bacterium. RNAcentral describes it as "partial 16S ribosomal RNA". It matches the Rfam family "Bacterial small subunit ribosomal RNA", at positions 773 to 1060 of the family's 1533-position model. The record is from RNAcentral.